RNAcentral lists this long non-coding RNA (988 nucleotides) under Pogona vitticeps (central bearded dragon). RNAcentral's name for it is "lncRNA (ENSPVIG00000016239.1)". The record is from RNAcentral. Lineage: Eukaryota; Metazoa; Chordata; Lepidosauria; Squamata; Agamidae.
CAUCCAGCUGAUGACCAACUAUGGAAGCCGCCAAGCAAGGUGCAGCCGCCCUUGUCGUGCAGCAGUGGCGAGCUUGCAGGGCUGUGGUGCAGGAAGUCCGAGUGGCCACGCUCCCUCGCCCAGGACGGUGGCAAACCGCCUGCCAGAGCCGUCAGCUUGGAAGGGACCAAGCCUCUGGCUUCUGCUUGGCCUUCCCGUUUGACUGCCUCUGUUUCUCUCAACAGUUGCACUGGAAGCGAGGGAGGCUGCGAUGAGGAAGAAGAACUCCUUGAAGUCAUGUUUAUGCAAGUGUAGAACGAUGAGUAUAGUUUACCGUAAUUUAUGGAUUUUGUGUGUUUUUUUUAAAAAAGGUUAGUAACAUCUGUUAAAAACCUAUACUCUAAGAGGCUAAGUCUGAAGUCCACUUGGCUGCAAAACAACCACACUUUCCCGGGGGUGGGCAGGAGAGUGCCCGGAAUAUUAGUUCCCCCCCCCCUCAAAGUCCUCAGCACAUGUCCUGGCAGGAAGACGCCGGCGGGUUGCCAAGAAAAGAGGAAAAGAAAGUGAAACGCUUCCUCCGAGGAGUAUAUAGGGGGGACAUCAGAGGUUCACUCCCUGCAGCCUCCCGACAGCCCUCUGAGAAGAGAAUCCUGCUCUGCACCACCUCUGGCUAGCACCAUGGCCCUCCGUUCUGUGCUUCCCUUCUGCCUCCUGGCUGCUGCAGCUCUGGCUCUCUGCAUCCUUCCUGCCCAAGCCGUCAGGAACAAUUUGGAGGACUGCUGCCAGUCAACCAGAGAUGUACCUUUGCAAGCCAGAAAUGCAAACAGAUUUGCAACUUACCGUAUACAGAAGCCACAGAUGGGCUGCUCAAUCCCUGCAAUUGUGCUGAUCACUACGAAUGGCCGUGGACUGUGUUUCCCUCCAGAGUCUAAGUCGGCUUUGGCCAUCAAGAGAGUACUGGAUGCCAGAGCACUCCGGAAGCAGAAGCAGUCCUAAGGGCUCAAGGUCU